GUUUGGCUGGUCGGUCCGCCUCACGGCGAGCACUGACCUCGGCCAAGCUGUUUCCUCUUGGACCGCCCGAGAGCGCUUGACUGUGCGCUCGGGAUGGGCCAGGACUUUUACUUUGAAAAAAUUAGAGUGUUCAAAGCAGGCAUUUGCUCGGAUACAUUAGCAUGGAAUAAUAGAAUAGGACGUCGAUCUUAUUUUGUUGGUUUCUAAGACCGCCGUA
RNAcentral lists this ribosomal RNA (217 nucleotides) under uncultured fungus. RNAcentral describes it as "partial small subunit ribosomal RNA". The stretch from base 94 to 217 matches the Rfam family "Eukaryotic small subunit ribosomal RNA", at positions 738 to 864 of the family's 1831-position model. Lineage: Eukaryota; Fungi. The record is from RNAcentral.